CCGUAAUCGGAAUGAGUACACUUUAAAUCCUUUAACAAGGAUCCAUUGGAGGGCAAGUCUGGUGCCAGCAGCCGCGGUAAUUCCAGCUCCAAUAGCGUAUAUUAAAGUUGUUGCGGUUAAAAAGCUCGUAGUUGGUUCUGCGUGCCGCGCUGUCGGUUCGCCGCCUGUCGGUGUUACUGGCAUGUCGCGGCAUGUCCUGUCGGUGGUGAAUGAAAUUCCCGGUGCUACGUAGGCUUUUAUUAGCUGAAGUAUGUGCCGUGGUGAUUUCAUUUGCCGAUUUCUCCUACUCCGGUGCUCUUAAACGAGUGUCGAGGUAGGCCGACACGUUCACUUUGAACAAAUUAGAGUGCUUAAAGCAGGCUGAAAUAUCUGCCUGAAUAGUGGUGCAUGGAAUAAUAAAAUAGGACCUCGGUUCUAUUUUAUUGGUUUUAGGAAUAUGAGGUAAUGAUCAAUGUGGACUGGCGGGGGCAUUCGUAUUGCGACGUUAGAGGUGAAAUUCUUGGAUCGUCGCAAGACGCACUAGAGCGAAAGCAUUUGCCAAGUAUGUCUUAAUUGAUCAAGAACGAAAGUUAGAGGUUCGAAGGCGAUCAGAUACCGCCCUAGUUCUAACCAUAAACGAUGCCCGCCAGCGAUCCGCCGAUGUUCCUUUAAUGACUCGGCGGGGAGCUUCUACCCGGGAAACCAAAGCUUUUGGGUUCCGGGGGAAGUAUGGUUGCAAAGCUGAAACU
RNAcentral lists this ribosomal RNA (728 nucleotides) under Glymmatophora crassipes. Its description in RNAcentral is "SSU rRNA". It matches the Rfam family "Eukaryotic small subunit ribosomal RNA", at positions 503 to 1144 of the family's 1831-position model. The record is from RNAcentral. Lineage: Eukaryota; Metazoa; Arthropoda; Insecta; Hemiptera; Reduviidae.